Molecule: long non-coding RNA, 643 nt
Filed under: Dromaius novaehollandiae (emu)
Lineage: Eukaryota; Metazoa; Chordata; Aves; Casuariiformes; Dromaiidae
Description: lncRNA (ENSDNVG00000008072.1)
Source: RNAcentral
UUCGUGAUGUUAAAAAAGGAUCCUUAGCAAAUGUUGAACCACAGGACUGUGAGGCCGGGACAGACAAGCCUAAAAUUAUGUGCCUCUUACUGGCUGAAUUACCACUAAAGGAGCAAAGUCACAACAGGUCGUAUUUGAAAAUGCUCAAUUUAUUUUCUGCAGCAAAGAGUUAUUGUGCUUAUCUAAGUGAUCCAGUUUACAACAUGGCUUUUGAAACAUCUGCAUUGGUACCACUGGGGGAGUGGUAAGAAUGGCUGGUGGGAGAAUAGAUAACAUCUUUAACCAGUUUUGCUGAUGAAGAGAGCAUUAUGGAAUUACACUCUGACAUAUGAAAAUGAGCCAGUGAAGCUGUACCUUUUUGAUAGCCAUCCCAGAAGUUGGGAAGUCAUACUAAGAAUAUCAUCACUCCAUAAGAAAAGGAUCAACACAAAAAGCCUCUGCACUGCGUAUUUGGUAAGCAUAAAUCUAAAAGUAUUUUCAAAAUAAUCAAGCUACAGAAAGCAGACAUUUCAAAUUUUACUUGCCUCAGCUACAACAAAUCUACAAAUAUGCACAUUAAGGAAAUAUUUGGAGUUUUCAAAAGAAAUGGAAUACUUCUUGAUAAGGGAAAUGAUGGAGUAAAACUGCAGAAAUCUUUGUUCUG